This 505-nucleotide ribosomal RNA is filed under the name uncultured bacterium. RNAcentral's name for it is "partial 16S ribosomal RNA". It matches the Rfam family "Bacterial small subunit ribosomal RNA", at positions 28 to 507 of the family's 1533-position model. The record is from RNAcentral.
GACGAACGCUGGCGGCGUGCCUAAUACAUGCAAGUAGAACGCACAGUUUAUACCGUAGCUUGCUACACCAUACACUGUGAGUUGCGAACGGGUGAGUAACGCGUAGGUAACCUGCCUGGUAGCGGGGGAUAACUAUUGGAAACGAUAGCUAAUACCGCAUAAUAUUGAUUAUUGCAUGAUAAUUGAUUGAAAGAUGCUAUUGCAUCACUACCAGAUGGACCUGCGUUGUAUUAGCUAGUAGGUGAGGUAACGGCUCACCUAGGCGACGAUACAUAGCCGACCUGAGGGGGUGAUCGGCCACACUGGGACUGAGACACGGCCCAGACGCCUACGGGAGGCAGCAGUAGGGAAUCUUCGGCAAUGGACGAAAGUCUGACCGAGCAACGCCGCGUGAGGGAAGAAGGGUUUCGGAUCGUAAAGCUCGGUUGUAAGAGAAGAACGGGUGUGAGAGUGGAAAGUUCACACUGUGACGGUAUCUGACCAGAAAGGGACGGCUAACUACGUG